UUGUAGCCCCGAUAGCAGUGAAAAUCCUUUUAUUUUUUCUUUAAAAAAUAAAAGAUUGCAACGGAUAGCGGGAUUAGCU
RNAcentral lists this small RNA (79 nucleotides) under Flavobacterium xanthum. RNAcentral describes it as "Flavo-1 RNA". It matches the Rfam family "Flavo-1 RNA". The record is from RNAcentral. Lineage: Bacteria; Pseudomonadati; Bacteroidota; Flavobacteriia; Flavobacteriales; Flavobacteriaceae.